AAAAAAAUCAAGAAUGCAAGUGAAUUUGUGCACGGAAUUGAAUUUUAUUAUCAUAUCUAUAUCUAUAUAUAUAUAUAUAUAUAUUUUUUCAGAAACAUUUAUGAAAAAAUUCCUGAAGUUCUAACUUAUUUCCACAUGUUUUUUAUGGAUCCUAUUCGGAUUGCUCCAUACUAAUUGAGGGAUCCGUAAUUGAGAAACGAAACCCUUUUCCAAAUAAUUGAAACCCUAAAAAGUUGUUGCGACUUAAUUCUAUGGAUCAAGAAGAGGAGGCGGCAGUGAGGAAUCUCUUUAUCGUGUUUUUAUUGGAUUAAGAUCAACUCUCGAGUGAUGAAACUAAUCUCCAUCCUAGAGGUUUGCUUUGUUUCUCAACUGCCGCUGUUUGAUCCGAUGGCUGGUAGGAUAUUACGACGGCUUUGUGGCUCAUAUGGUUCUUAAACUUAUCGGCUUUUUUUUGGGAACAACCACGAGACCAGCCUUGAUUUCUUUAUUGGGUCUCCCUGAUCCAAGAUGGUUUUGAAGGAUGGACAAUUUUCACAACCAAAUUUGUCUUCUUAAUCUCAUUUUUGAGUUUCAAGCCAACCAUAGGAGAAGGUGGUAUUAUUUGCACAUUGCCAAACAGUUGCAGGUGAGUUAUCUUUUUCGAUUUCCACUACUCAUUAAUCAGUUUGGUUGGCUAGCCCCAUCAGUGACAUUUCCACUACUCAUUAAACAUUGCUUAAUGAGUGUCAGACACAUUCAUCAGUCAAAGCCCAACUCUCAAGUCUGCUUUCUCCCUAUCAAGUGAUGAUAUAUUUUGCUAUCUGGGAACAGGUUUAUUCUCUUGAUGAGAGAGGGAUCUUCUUCAAAACAAUGAUUCUAAACAGAUAUCCUGAUUGUGAAUAUAUUUCAUUUUACACUUUAUCAGGUUUGGGGCUGAAUGCUUCUACUACUGCUGCCAAUCUAUCUAAAGAGGAGGACCAGAUGUUUGCCUCCUGUAGAUUUUCUGAAGACAGUGCAGGCAAUGAGCUCUUUGCAUUGCUGCAAACAUUGAACGUGAUGGAAGUAUUACAACAUGUGAUACGAAAUCAUGGAAACGAAAAGAGUCAAAGCCUAUAAAAAAACAAAUCUAUAUUAGCCUUUAAUGUCUCAGCUGAUGCGAUGGAGUGAGACCAUAUGUGAUGGGGCAGAUCUUGGUUUUCUAUAUAAUGGCCCUGAGAAAAGUUUUUUGGUCGUUUUCAAACGUAUGAGACUGCUUGCCUUAGUGACUGCGUGAACACCGGUUUCUUCGUGGGUCACAGGCAUAUAAGGAUAAGAAGAAGACGAAAGGAUAGAAGAAUCAGUAAGAGACAUAUCGAAUCAAUGAGAUUAAGAAGAAUUAGAGAAGAAGAAAGGAAGAGAUAAUGUGUCGGUUUUAGUUUUUUUUUUUGGGUAAAUAACCUUCAACUUCUGUACUUUUUUGGUGACAUUUUUCCUUUUUUAAGUAACCACCACAUUGGUUUCUCCAUUAUAAUCUUCAUUUGGUAAUAUAUGAUUUGGAAAUUAAUAAUAAAUUGUGUGAUAACAAUUGACAAAUUUUCCCAGCAAAUUUAU
Molecule: non-coding RNA, 1569 nt
Organism: Camelina sativa (false flax)
Lineage: Eukaryota; Viridiplantae; Streptophyta; Magnoliopsida; Brassicales; Brassicaceae
Source: RefSeq, a predicted model, not a curated record